Non-coding RNA from Arvicanthis niloticus (Nile rat), 165 nucleotides. The record is from RefSeq and is a predicted model, not a curated record. NCBI's taxonomy places the organism in Eukaryota, Metazoa, Chordata, Mammalia, Rodentia, Muridae.
GCACUUACCUGGCAGGGGAAAUACCGUGAUCGUGAAGGUGGUUUUCCCAGGGCAAGGUUUAUCCAUUACACUCCGGAUAUGCCAAACCCUGUGAUUUUUCCCAAAUUCAGAAAACUUGACUGCAUACUUUGUGGUAGUGGGGGACUGCGUUCAUGCUCUCUCUUG